This is an RNA transcript of Zingiber officinale, 2444 nucleotides long. RefSeq lists it as uncharacterized. Lineage: Eukaryota; Viridiplantae; Streptophyta; Magnoliopsida; Zingiberales; Zingiberaceae. The transcript has 9 exons. The record is from RefSeq and is a predicted model, not a curated record.
AAUAAUAAUUGGGAAAAAAAAAUCGACCGAGAGAGAGAGAGUAGGAGACGAGAGUGCUCGGCGGAAGAAAAGCGAGCAGAAAGCGAGGGCGUGGGAAAGGGGAAAGCGGUAUCCGAGGAAAGCGAAGUGAGAAAAGAGGCCGGGCUUGGGGCGGAGACUAGCAGGAGCGAUUCCGGAUCCACAUUGAUAUUCCGAUCCAAGGAAAGGUUCUUCUCAUAUUCUCACAUUGUAUGUUCAACUGGAAGAUGGAAAUGAAUUGAUUACUGGCAACUAGUGGCUAAAGGAGUCUACCUCCACUAAAUUUUAUAUGGAGUGUCUUAUUGGUAAAGCAAUUCUCCAGUUUCUUUUACUUGCCAUUUGGACUUGCUGUUUCCAAGAUGUGGUGUCACAGAAGACAGAAUUUAAGCCAAAGCCUCGAGUCCCUGACAAACUUGUGUUGUCCGAUCCACCCAUGGGACUCUUUGGUCCCAUAGAGAUUUCUCCUGCUGUUGUUCCACACAAUCCUUAUCCUGUUGAGCCAUUAUCACCUAUGUACCCAUCCUUUCCGAGCACUUAUGAACCAAAUUUGACUGGGAAAUGUCCAGUCAAUUUUUCUUCAGCAUUGGAUGUCAUAGACAAGACAGCAUCAGACUGCUCUGCACCUUUAGCAGCACUAGUAGGGAACGUUAUUUGUUGUCCCCAGGUUAAUAGUUUGAUGCAUAUUUUUCAAGGUUCUUACAGUAAUGAUCCCAACAUGCUCGUCUUCCAGCAAGCUGCAGCUAAUUAUUGUUUCACGGAUCUGAUUAGUAUAUUGGCCAGCAGAGGGGCAAAUAACACUAUUCCCACUCUUUGCUCAGUCAAGUCCUCAAAUCUUACUGGCGGUUCAUGUCCUGUUAAGGAUCUUGCAACUUUUGAGAAAAUAGUAAAUACAAGCAAAUUACUUGACUCAUGUAGAACAGUCGAUUCUCUUAAAGAGUGUUGUAGGCCAGUAUGCCAACCUGCAAUCAUGGAAGCUGCACUUCAGACUUCACAAAGAGGAGCCAGCAUGCUUGAUAGUUCUAGAAUACCUGGGAUUGCUGGUGGCUUUAAUGUGGUCAAUGACUGUAAAGGAGUGGUAUAUGCUUGGCUAUCUCGAAAGCUCUCAACAGAGGAUGCCAACACUGCAUUCCGUAUUUUAUCUGGCUGCAAAGUUAAUAAAGUUUGUCCUUUGGAAUUUGAAGAGCCUUCAGCAAUAGUCAAUGCUUGUCAUGGUUCGGCUCCCACUCUUUCAUGUUGCAGUUCCUUGAACACGUAUAUUGGAUCAAUUCAGAAGCAGAUGCUCAUAACAAAUAGGCAAGCCAUCAAUUGUGCUACAUUGUUUGGAUCAAUGUUACAGAAAGGUGGGGUUACAGCAAAUAUCUAUGAGCUUUGCAAAAUUGAUCUGAAAGACUUUAGCCUUCAGUCAUACAGUCAACAAGGGUGUUUGCUGCGCAGCUUCCCAGCAGAUAUUGUGUUCGACAAUGUUACAGGCUUCAGUUUUACAUGUGAUUUAAGUGACAAUAUAGCUGCUCCAUGGCCUUCCUCAUCAUCUCUUUCAUCCUUAUCCCUUUGUGCACCUGUGUGAAUAGAACAUGAUUCGAGGCAAUGGAGCCAAACUAAUUCAGAGCAAACACACAGCCAAGUAGAGAGGAAGUACUGCAACAGGGAACAACUUGAUUUUCUGGUCAUGAUACAACAUGUGGCAAGACAUCAUCAGGGGGCUUGUCCCCUGGAGCUAUAAAAGGAGGAUUUAAACCAGUUAUUGUAUCUGGAGUUGCAUGCCAGGCAAUCAAAUUUUCUCCAACUUGGACAUUGUUGCCUCUCCUUGUUCAUCUUUCCAAACUUUUAUCCACUUUGACCCACCAACCUCAAAAACAUAGUCUUAAGAGAUGUCAUUGCCUGCACUGCCAGUACCACAAACUUCUGUAAACUCAGGUAGCUACGAAAUUGCAAGAACCUUAGUCACUGUUGGGUACAUCAUUGCCAGCUUAGUGCUAUGAUCAUGGUCUUCCAAAUCUAAAUCAAGGUUGAUCUAGAUGUCUGGAAACCACUCAGAUCAGGUGAGUCGGUAUCCAUGUUUCGCAACUCAUUUUGGAGGAAACGAUUUGACUUGUGCGUUGGAGUGAUGCAUUCUGGAGCAGUAGGUCUCGGCGGUAAGAAAACAAUGUAGGAGAGAUCUACGGCUGGGAACUCCGGGAGUGGCACACCACCCUACGAAGCCAUACCAAUUCGCCAUGUGAAUAGUGGAUGCAAUAUUUGUAUUUCAAUUGGGUUUUGUUCUCUUCUUUUUCUUCGCUUCAUGUCUUUUUCUGGUGUAUGUGACGACGGGCAUGGUUAAGCUUGUCGAGGUGUUGGUGAUUGGUGGUCGCUUGGCAUGACUCCAAGUUUUGUACUUCUGGACUUCGAUUCAAUCUGAUGAGCCUUCCAUGUUGGCAAUUUGCGCAAAA